AUCAUUACCGAGUUUACAACUCCCAAACCCCUGUGAACAUACCAAUUGUUGCCUCGGCGGAUCAGCCCGCUCCCGGUAAAACGGGACGGCCCGCCAGAGGACCCCUAAACUCUGUCUCUAUAUGUAACUUUUGAGUAAAACCAUAAAUAAAUCAAAACUUUCAACAACGGAUCUCUUGGUUCUGGCAUCGAUGAAGAACGCAGCAAAAUGCGAUAAGUAAUGUGAAUUGCAGAAUUCAGUGAAUCAUCGAAUCUUUGAACGCACAUUGCGCCCGCCAGUAUUCUGGCGGGCAUGCCUGUUCGAGCGUCAUUUCAACCCUCAAGCCCUCGGGUUUGGUGUUGGGGAUCGGCGAGCCCUUGCGGCAAGCCGGCCCCGAAAUCUAGUGGCGGUCUCGCUGCAGCUUCCAUUGCGUAGUAGUAAAACCCUCGCAACCGGUACGCGGCGCGGGCAAGCCGUUAACGCCCCAAAUUCAAAUCUUCUGAAGUUGACCUCGAAUCAGGUAGGA
This 505-nucleotide ribosomal RNA is filed under the name fungal sp. E15520B. Its description in RNAcentral is "eukaryotic LSU rRNA". The stretch from base 156 to 309 matches the Rfam family "5.8S ribosomal RNA". Lineage: Eukaryota; Fungi. The record is from RNAcentral.